Lagenorhynchus albirostris (white-beaked dolphin) is the source of this 491-nucleotide long non-coding RNA. RefSeq lists it as uncharacterized. NCBI's taxonomy places the organism in Eukaryota, Metazoa, Chordata, Mammalia, Artiodactyla, Delphinidae. The record is from RefSeq and is a predicted model, not a curated record. The transcript has 2 exons.
UCGCUCCCGGCCGCGGCCAGGUACGAGCGCGUCCGCGCUCCCGCGGGCGGGCGGGGGAGGGGCGGGAGUGCUGCGGAAGCUGGACCGCUGCCCCGCCCGGCAUGACGGCCUGUGGGCUCCAGGCCGUGCGGGGCCAAGAUCCCGGACCCUCGGAGACGUCGGGCAUGGGAAAACCGAGGUCCAAAGAAGGAAGGGUCCGGCCGGGGCACCGCAGCGGGUCACGGCAGGCACCAUCUGAAGCCAGGCUGGUCACCGGCCCGCCACAGAGGCUCUCCAGCUGCUGCCACUCCUCUUCAUCCUGCUGCAAGCUCCAAGCAUCAGGCCCCAUCACCUGGUACCCAGACCAAGGUCGUACAUAAUUGGCCUCCCUUCUCUGACCUCCACGCCUGGACCAUCCCACACAUGGACAUAAUUAGGUCACACACAAACACCCCGACCCUGCAAAGCCCUCUGUGUCUCCACAUCACCCAGAUUAAAGUUCACAAGAGGCC